Molecule: long non-coding RNA, 1754 nt
Organism: Lathyrus oleraceus (garden pea)
Lineage: Eukaryota; Viridiplantae; Streptophyta; Magnoliopsida; Fabales; Fabaceae
Exons: 3
Source: RefSeq, a predicted model, not a curated record
UGGAUGUUAGGACUGGUCUUGGGGGUGUACACAUUCGCAUGGAGUGGGGAGAGUAAGCUCGUUUGGACCUUAGGCCCAAACCGAGUCCAAGGCCAAUCCAUCAUUAAGAAAAACAAGCAGAGGUUACUGUACAGAAAAGCGCUUAAAUGGAUAAGCUGGAAAACAAGGGUGGACGAAAACGCUUAUGGAGACACAGAGUUCGGUCAUAAUCUUCAUCCAAUUUUCGCUUGUUCUGGCGUUCAUGGAUACGCUUCCAGCUCCUGUCUGUUUUGGUUGGUCGGCGUCAUCGCAUCAGCAUCGGAGUGACAUCACGGACAUCAUCGCGUUUUGGAUCAUUCAACACUGAGUUUUUGAUUGGUUUGAAUCACGUCUGGUUCGCGUUACAGCGUUGCUUGCACAUCUCCGAUCUCGCGCUUCAAUUGUAACCAGCGAGUUGCGAUUACCACCGGUGCGGCGUCGCGGAUGUCGUUGCGUUAUUGCGCUUCAGCAUCGAUCUUUGAUUCAGAUGCGUACAAACAAGAACAAAAAUUGAAUCGAAAGUAGCAUCGCGAGUGUGAUCGGAAUUUCAAUUUGAUUCAAAGUUAAAGAUCUUGAUUCAGAGUUUUCGAUUCUAAACAGCACGCAACUAUAGGAAGAAAAGGUUUAAAGACUUACCGGUGAAAGGGGGAAAUUCCUUCGGUCAAUAACAGAUUGUCGUCGCUGGCGAAAACGAGAGAAAUCCAGAACGGUGUCGAUUUCCAGCUCUAAGCCUGGUGCGUGAGUGUGCCUGAACGUGUGAAGAACGAUGAACUCCGGCUUGUGUAUGGAUGAACUUUGUGGAUGGCUCCCCUGGUAUGCCCCUGCUUCGAUCCCUCAAUCUUUCUCCGUAUCGUGCUUCCACGUUCUUAAUUAUACAUGGCUGAAUUUUGUGUAAUGCAUUGUGUUGAUGAACGAGUCGACACAGAACUUGCAGGGUGAAUCGAUGUGAGGUAACGGAUACUCCAGUUGAAGAUUGUGAACCCCUGAUUGCUGCUUGAAGGUUGCAAGCUCAUGGAUCUUAGGUGGAAGAAUGGCGAAUUCAAAGUGGAAGCGUGGUGAUUGAAGAAAAUUGGAGAAAGUGAGGAAGAAAUGAAGAUGUUGAUUAGAAGUGAAUGAUCAGAAAAAUGCUCAGAGAAAGGCUAUGAACUUCUUAUAUAAGAGAAGUGUAACCGAAUCGGGCACUUAAAAGGGGGCAGGUUAUCAAUCGCCGAACCUCUUCUUGCUGUUGCUGUGUCCGCCGUGUUGCCAUUAUCGUGCAUUGUUAUGUUGGCCAAAUGAUGGUUAGUGGGAUGCGAUAAUGCUUGCGUGGAUAUCAUACUAUAUGUCGCUGUAUUGUAUAUGAUGCAAUUGGUAAUGCUUAGAUUAUGCGGUUCAGUUGUCGACUAACACAAUGCUAUGACGUAAUGAAGGAUGCUUAUGAUAUGCGUGAUGUGAGAUGCUUAAGCUGCUGUAGAAUGGACACGUUACUGCAAGUGAAGUCAUUUGGCUCAUAAAGAAACAAAUGGAUUUGGUUAAUCACAUGGAUGGUUAGGAUUAGGAUAUCUAGGGAUGUAAAGUCCAUUUCUUGUGUUUUCUCGUGGGAUCAUUAUUUGGAUGAACUUAAAUAGCUUUCAAUUCGAUUUUGUAUUGGAUUUUGAAUUUGAUUUUCUAUUGGAAUGAAACAAAUGACAAUGGCUUGCAAUGGAUUGGAAUUUUGGGAAUUAAAUGUGUGGAAGCUGAAUGAUUUUAUGGUUUAA